This 301-nucleotide ribosomal RNA is filed under the name uncultured bacterium. Its description in RNAcentral is "partial 16S ribosomal RNA". It matches the Rfam family "Bacterial small subunit ribosomal RNA", at positions 509 to 807 of the family's 1533-position model. The record is from RNAcentral.
CAGUCGCCGCGGGAAUACAGAGGGUGCGAGCGUUAAUCGGAUUUACUGGGCGUAAAGCGUGCGUAGGCGGCUUUUUAAGUCGGAUGUGAAAUCCCUGAGCUUAACUUAGGAAUUGCAUUCGAUACUGGGAAGCUAGAGUAUGGGAGAGGAUGGUAGAAUUCCAGGUGUAGCGGUGAAAUGCGUAGAGAUCUGGAGGAAUACCGAUGGCGAAGGCAGCUAUCUGGCCUAAUACUGACGCUGAGGUACGAAAGCAUGGGGAGCAAACAGGAUUAGAUACCCGGGUAGUCCCUGUCUCUUAUAC